RNAcentral lists this ribosomal RNA (239 nucleotides) under uncultured bacterium. RNAcentral's name for it is "partial 16S ribosomal RNA". It matches the Rfam family "Bacterial small subunit ribosomal RNA", at positions 15 to 245 of the family's 1533-position model. The record is from RNAcentral.
GAUCCUGGCUCAGGAUGAACGCUAGCUACAGGCUUAACGCAUGCAAGUCGAGGGGCAGCAUGACGAUAGCUUGCUAUUGUUGAUGGCGACCGGCGCACGGGUGAGUAACGCGUAUCCAACCUUCCCGUUGCUAGGGGAUAACCUUGCGAAAGUAAGACUAAUACCCUAUGAAGUUCUUCGCAGACAUCUAAAGAGAACAAAAGAUUUAUCGGCAACGGAUGGGGAUGCGUCUGAUUAGG